This is a long non-coding RNA of Oncorhynchus tshawytscha (Chinook salmon), 619 nucleotides long. The record is from Ensembl. NCBI's taxonomy places the organism in Eukaryota, Metazoa, Chordata, Actinopteri, Salmoniformes, Salmonidae.
CAGUCAAAAGUUUGGACACGCCUACUCAUUCCAGGGUUCUCUACAUAUCUUCUACAUCCUGAAAUGUAUUCCCAUGCCGUCUGAAGAAGACAGGUUGAAAGAUUGAAAACGGCGGCAAAAACAAAGCACACUACAGGAUGAUGUAGAUGACUCCCCCCUCCCCCCAAGAAGUCACAGCAGGUCACAUCAGCAUCCAGCUUUGCAAGAGCAGACCAUACUAAAAAUGAAAUGCACGGCGAACUGGGAGCUGUGAACUGGUGCAAUUGGGAUGGACGGGGAAGACCGCAUUUACAACCCUUAAAUAACUACGGUUGUAUGAUGGCCUGGAUGAAUAGGAAAAUAUUCUCCUCAAGGAACUGACCGUCUUUGCCUCUUUUGAGGAGCAGGAGUGAAGCUAUUUUUGAGGAGUGGUCAAACCUUGUUUUUGUCUGCUGUGUUAAUUGUUUCAAUUGUUAAUUGUGUUAUUUAGUAAAGAUGACGUAGCAGUCACCCGAGUCUCUGGUCUCUUUACUGGAGCUGGUAUAACUGUCUAUAUGGUAUAGUCUGUUUCCAUUCUCAUGAGGAAAGUAAAUAGCAUUAUAAAUCAGGAUAGGUAGUAAGUGUGUGUGUGUAUGUGUGU